Molecule: long non-coding RNA, 1193 nt
Organism: Glycine soja
Lineage: Eukaryota; Viridiplantae; Streptophyta; Magnoliopsida; Fabales; Fabaceae
Exons: 4
Source: RefSeq, a predicted model, not a curated record
UUCUAUUUGCAAGGUUUUAAUUUUGUUUGUUGUUAUGCAUGUUUUUAUCUUAAUAAUAGUUAUUUUUUCUUACUGAUUUUUCAACUUUGUUUUCGCUCCCUUUCUCCAAAUUUCUUAGAUUUGGUUCUAUCUAAUUACCUUGAACCCAUUGAUUGCAGAAAAAUAUUCAUAGGGGGUUUAGCGAGAGAAACGACUAUUGGUGAGUGUUUUCUAUUUGUAUUGUGUUGGUUUGUUUUCUUUCUGGGUUUACCAAUGAGCAUUCGUGUAAUCAACUAUUUUUUUAAAUAAUUUUGUGUGGCGCAAUUCAUCAAGCACUUAGAAAUCGUGGAGAAGACAGUUCAGGUUACUGUGCAUUAUUGUUUCAAAAUGUUAAAUUUUUCCAAAAAAAUUUUCUCGGAGGCUUUUAUUUUCAAUUGUUAAAAAUUAAGCCCAUUGCAGUGUGUCCACAUGUUGAUAGGUUUGGCAUUUGGAGAGGAGGGAACCACAUGUAUAUUGGUUUAAGGUGGAGUUUCUUCUGCAGUGGCAAUACAUGAAGGGAAUUUCCUGGCUUUGGAAACUUCCAUUACCUAGAAAUCGAAAAUGCAAGAGUAUUUUAAGAUUUACCGCAUCAAACUUUAGGUUCCUAUAUCUAUAAACUAUAGACUGCUUGAUGAUCAAAGAGAGGGAGUGAGGUUUUGACAUGGUUUUCUCAACAACGAUCAUGGAGGCAUACUUGGAGAUGACAUAGAGGGAGCAACCAUACCUCGAGAAGGUUUAGAAGGGUGCAAGCGAAACACAGAGCAAUGAACAAUAUCAAUGAUUAUGCAGAAUCCCUCUUUCAGAUGUGCUUAGAAAAUGGUGCGGGGCCAGAAAGAGAUGAGCUUGAUUUUGAGUUUUUGGGGAACAAAACAGGAGAGCCUUAUUUGAUUCAGACUAAUGUAUACAAGAAUGGAACUCGUGGGCGUAAGAUGAGGCACAUGCUUUGGUUUGACCCCGCAGAGGACUACCACACCUAUUCCAUUCAGCAAGAAUUAGAAUGAGAUCAUGUUAAAGAGGCAUUUGCUUAGUUGAUUCUAACUAAUUAACUGCUAUAUAAUUUUAAUUUUUGGAGUUAUUUGCUGCUAGCUAGGGGACUUAUUAGGGAAUAAUUGAACAUGAACAUGUCAUUUGAACCUUAUGAUCAGAAUUGAAAUAUCUUGAUUAUUUUCUCAAUA